CCUACGGGCGGCAGCAGUGGGGAAUAUUGCACAAUGGGGGGAACCCUGAUGCAGCGACGCAGCGUGGGUGAAGGAGUAUUUCGGUAUGUAAAGCCCUAUCAGCAGGGAAGAACAAUGACGGUACCUGACUAAGAAGCACCGGCUACAUCCGUGCCAGCAGCCGCGGUAAUACGUAUGGUGGAAGCGUUAUUCGGAUUUACUGGGUGUAAAGGGAGCGCAGGCGGCGCGUUAAGCCUGGUGUGAAAGUCCGGGGCCCAACCGCGGGACUGCAUUUGGAACUGGCGCGCUGGAGUGCCGGAGGGGUAGGCGGAAUUCCUGGUGUAGCGGUGAAAUGCGUAGAUAUUAGGAGGAACCCCAGUGGCGAAGGCGGCCUACUGGAGGGUGACUGACGCUGAGGCUCGAAAGCGUGGGGAGCAAACAGGAUUAGAUACCCGGGUAGUC
RNAcentral lists this ribosomal RNA (441 nucleotides) under uncultured bacterium. Its description in RNAcentral is "partial 16S ribosomal RNA". It matches the Rfam family "Bacterial small subunit ribosomal RNA", at positions 338 to 795 of the family's 1533-position model. The record is from RNAcentral.